Molecule: microRNA precursor, 52 nt
Filed under: Myotis davidii
Lineage: Eukaryota; Metazoa; Chordata; Mammalia; Chiroptera; Vespertilionidae
Description: mir-1302 microRNA precursor family
Rfam family: mir-1302 microRNA precursor family
Source: Rfam by way of RNAcentral
AUUUUAGCGUAAGUGUGUUCCAUGCAAUUUUUGGAAUGUACUUAUACUAAAA